Molecule: ribosomal RNA, 338 nt
Filed under: uncultured bacterium
Lineage: Bacteria
Description: bacterial SSU rRNA
Rfam family: Bacterial small subunit ribosomal RNA
Source: RNAcentral
AAUCAACGCUGGCGGCGUGCCUCAGACAUGCAAGUCGAACGCUGAUUGUGGGGUAGCAAUAUUCUGCAGUCGGAGUGGCGAAAGGGUGCGUAACACGUGGGUCAUUUGCCGUGAAGUUGGGGACGAACUCGCUGAAAGGCGAGCUAAUACCGAAUGUGGCUGUAAAGCUAAAGUUGGGGACCGGCAAGGCCUGACGCUUCACGAUAAGCCCGCGGCCUAUCAGCUAGUUGGUGAGGUAACGGCUCACCAAGGCUAAGACGGGUAGCUGGUCUGAGAGGACGACCAGCCUCACUGGAACUGAGACACGGUCCAGACACCUACGGGUGGCAGCAGUCGAG